CCUACGGGAGGCAGCAGUGGGGAAUAUUGGGCAAUGGGCGCAAGCCUGACACAGCAACGCCGCGUGAAGGAUGAAGGUGUUCGGAUUGUAAACUUCUGUCGCGAGGGACGAAGAAGGACGGUACAGCGUAAGAAAGCCCCGGCUAACUACGUGCAAGCAGCCGCGGUAAUAAGUAGGGGGCAAGCGUUGACCGGAAGGACUGGGCGGAAAGGGAGUGGAGGCGGCCUUGUAAGUUAGAUGUGAAAUCCUACGGCUUAACCGUAGAACUGCAUUUAAAACUGUGAGGCUGGAGGGCAGGAGAGUUGAGUGGAAUUCCUGGUGUAGCGGUGGAAUGCGUAGAUAUUAGGAGGAACACCAGAGGCGAAGGCGACUCACUGGACUGUAACUGACGCUGAGGCUCGAAAGCGUGGGGAGCAAACAGGAUUAGAUACCCUUGUAGUC
RNAcentral lists this ribosomal RNA (441 nucleotides) under uncultured bacterium. RNAcentral's name for it is "partial 16S ribosomal RNA". It matches the Rfam family "Bacterial small subunit ribosomal RNA", at positions 338 to 795 of the family's 1533-position model. The record is from RNAcentral.